CUCAGGAGGAAUUAAUCCCAGCUUUCUGGGCAUGGAAUUCUGAUCAUCUGGGAGCAAUCCUGGCCUAAAUCCUGAAUUUCUCCACCUCAGGAGCAAUCCCAGCUUUCUGGACAUGGAAUUCUGAGAUUCCAGGAGCAAUCCCAACUUUUUCUGGGUGUGGAAUUCUGAGCUUCCAGGAGCAAUCCCAGCAAAAUCCCGCAUUUCUCCCCCUCAGGAGCAAUCCCAGGGCUCUGGGGGUGACAUUCCCGGGACCUGGCUCGGAGCAGGAAUGGGAUCGUGCAGGAGGGAUGAGGGGGCAGCGGUGCCAGGCAGGAAUUCCCAGGAAGGAGCAAAAAACCGGGAUGAGGCAGCGAAGGGACCCCACGGAGGGAGGGAAAAGAGAGGGAAAGAUCCAGGAUCCCAAUUCGGGAAUUUUGGGGCCGUUUGGGGGAAUUUUGGGGCCGUUUGGGGGAAUUUGGGGCUGUUUGGGGGAGUUCUGGGGCCAUUUCCCAGUUCUUUCCCAGUUCUAUCCCAGUUCUAUCCCAGUUCUAUCCCAGUUCCAUUCCCAGUUCCAUUCCCAGUUCUAUCCCAGUUCUGUCCCAGUCCUGUCCCAGUUCUAUCCCAGUUCUGGUGUUUUUAGCGUUGUUUUGGGGUGUUUUAUUGCCUGUUUGGGUGUUUUUAGGGCCGUUCUGGUGUUUUUAGGGCUGUUUUUGUGGGUUUUUUGGUCCCAUUCUGGUGUUUUUCGGGCCAUCCCGCCCUUUCCAGCCUCAUUUUCGGGGAAGUUUUUCACCUGGAAGUUUGGCUCCAGUGAUUUUCCUGCGGGUAAAAAUCCCGGGCACGGGGAGGCUCCGGAAUAUCAGGAAUGUGCCCUUGGAGCGGCCGCUGACGCAGGGCCCGGCAUUCCCGGAAUUCCUGCGGCAUUCCCGGCAUUCCCGCGCCGAUGGGAGAUAACGGGAGGUGUUAUCGCCCAAAUUCCAACCCCCCCGGGAAUUCCGGGGUGGAAAAUUCCCGGUUUUUUGGGGGGUUUCGGGGUUUUUUGGGGGUGUUUUGGGGAGGAGGAGGAG
Molecule: long non-coding RNA, 1043 nt
Filed under: Manacus vitellinus (golden-collared manakin)
Lineage: Eukaryota; Metazoa; Chordata; Aves; Passeriformes; Pipridae
Description: lncRNA (ENSMVIG00005009571.1)
Source: RNAcentral